UCAUCACACUCAUGGUUUGGGUUUAGUGUCUUUAUCCUAACACCUGGAAGGUCUCCAUCCCCAGAAAUGAGAACAACAAAAGGGCAACCAUGAACACGUGUGUACCUUAAUCUUUCUUUAUCACUUUUUUCUUGAUUUAAAUCUUUUUUGUUUGUCAGGGAAUAUAAGUUAAUACAUUUUCUUGCUUCAGGUAUGUCCUUGAAACUCAUACCCUUAUACAAUUCCUUGUAAUUUGACAGUCCAACAUCAAUUUCUCUAUUUUUCUGAAAUUUUAUUGUUUGUAAUUCCUCAGAAUCAUACCCUACCUCAUCACCAUCAUUGUCAUU
Molecule: long non-coding RNA, 326 nt
Filed under: Nicotiana benthamiana
Lineage: Eukaryota; Viridiplantae; Streptophyta; Magnoliopsida; Solanales; Solanaceae
Description: long non-coding RNA (NBEN_LNC020153)
Source: RNAcentral